GCCGGGUGUGGUGGCGGAAGCCUGUAAUCACAGCUACUCGGGAGGCUGAGGCAGAGAAUUGCUUGAACCCGGGGGAGGCGGUGGUUGCAGUGAGCCGAGAUCUCACCAGUGUACUCUCCAGUCUGGGCGAUGGAGUCUUGCUCUGUUGCCCAGGCUGGAGUGCAGUGGCAUGAUCUCAGCUCACUGCAACCACCGCCUCCCGGGUUCAAGCAAUUCUCUGCCUCAG
Homo sapiens (human) is the source of this 226-nucleotide non-coding RNA. It matches the Rfam family "Metazoan signal recognition particle RNA". Rfam says of the family: The signal recognition particle (SRP) is a universally conserved ribonucleoprotein. It is involved in the co-translational targeting of proteins to membranes. The eukaryotic SRP consists of a 300-nucleotide 7S RNA and six proteins: SRPs 72, 68, 54, 19, 14, and 9. The record is from Rfam. NCBI's taxonomy places the organism in Eukaryota, Metazoa, Chordata, Mammalia, Primates, Hominidae.